AUAUAGAUAGAGAUAAACUGUAAACAGCAAUAAUGUUUUCAAAGUAAGAUCUACAAAUAAGUCGACAUUGCUAAAAUGGUCAAUUGACCCCUUAAGGAGUUAUUGCCCUUUAUAGUCAAUUUCUAACAAUUUUUCGUAAAUUUUUAUAAUCUUUUAAAAAGUCUUAAAAAACUACUGGACCAAAUUUUAACAAAAAAUGGCCACAAUCAUAAUUAGGAUAUCUUGUUUCAUAAAUAUGUGUGAUGACCCAGCCAACCAACCAAGAUAGCCACCAUGGCUAAAAAUAGAACAUAGGGGUAAAAUGUAGAUUUUGGCUUAUAACUCUGAAACCAAAGCAUUUAGAGCAAAUCUGACAAGGGGUUCAAUUGUUUAUCAAGUCAAUAUCUAUCUGCCCUGAAAUUUUCAGAUGAAGUGGACAACCAGUUGUUGGGUUGCUGCCCCCCAAUUGGUAAUUUAAAAAAAAAUAUGCCAUUUUUGGUUAUUAUCUUGAAUACUAUUAUAGAUAGAGAUAAAUUGUAAACAGCAAUAAUGUUCAGCAAAGUAAGAUCUACAAAUAAGUCAACAUGACCAAAAUGGUCAGUUGACCCUUAAGGAGUUAUUGCCCUUCAUAGUCAAUUUUUAUGAUAGUCAAUUUUUAUGAAUUUUCAUUAAUUUGGUAAAUUUUUAUAAAUUUUUACAAAAUAUUUUCCUCUAACUAAAGGGCCAAGUUUAUUAUAGAUAGAGAAAAUUGUAAGUAGCAAGAAUGUUCAGUAAAGUAAGAUCUACAAACACAUCACCAUCAUCAAAACACAAUUUUGUCAUGAAUACAUCUGUGUCCUUUGUUUAAUACAUGUAUGCACAUAGACCAAGGUGAGUGACACAGGCUCUUAAGAGCCUCUACUUUAUAUAUUCUGUUGUUGUUAUAUUAUGGAUAUUUUAUUAUUGACUUAUCUAUUUUUAUUUUUAUUUUAUUGAUGUAAAUUGAAUGAUUUAUUUUGUAGCCUAGUAUUUACAAUGUGUAAUAUUUUUAUAUAUUUUAUAUUAUGGACAUUUUAAAAUUGAUUUAUUUUUUGUUAUUAUUGGUUUUAUUUAUGCACA
Molecule: long non-coding RNA, 1077 nt
Filed under: Mytilus galloprovincialis (Mediterranean mussel)
Lineage: Eukaryota; Metazoa; Mollusca; Bivalvia; Mytilida; Mytilidae
Source: RNAcentral